CAGCGCAGCCCCUCCUGUCGGCGUGGCCGUACCUGACAAGCUGCUGCUGCUUCCACUCCUCGAUUCGCUUCUGUGCUGUGGAUUCCCGGUCCUCUUCACUGGAACUCGAAUUAUCCUCCUCGUCUAACUCCCGCUGGAUACUCUGCCAUUUCUUAACCAAAGAUGGCAUUUUGGUUUUACUUUUCUUUGCCUAAAACGAAGUUACAGAUCAGAGGAAUGUAAUACAUAAAUAAGGAAAGAGGCCCUUUAAACUGGAGAUCAAGAUCUUUCCCUGAAACCCAGGAAGAAAUGCGAUGUUGGCUGCAUCCAGAAACUCCCAAGGCUGCCACGUAUCAUGGAAGUGGCAGAAAGAAUGACAUAAGUCUACGCAUUCCAUCCUGAGAUGCUGGCUGGCUGAUAUCAGAACGUGGACUAGACCCUGACACACUACCAUCUCCUUCUUCCAAGGCUCGUAACUCUGCCUACAAAGAAUGUGUUAAUAAAAUUAGCAUGACAUUAAUUACUUAUCAACACUAUGACCGGUCCACUUUUAUUACUACUGGAAACAGAAAUUGCUUUCUCCUUCGUAUAUAUAUCUGUAUUUACCACAAAACCAGCUUCAGUACCUGUUACAGAACUGAGAAGGGAAUGUAAACACAAACAAAAGGUAAAUACCCACAGCAGCUGUUUUCUCUUACAUAAUUUCUUCUUCAGGUCUAGCCUUACCUGGGCUGGUAAUGCUGUAAUCCCUGCACCUGUGUGG
Long non-coding RNA from Peromyscus eremicus (cactus mouse), 742 nucleotides. RefSeq lists it as uncharacterized. NCBI's taxonomy places the organism in Eukaryota, Metazoa, Chordata, Mammalia, Rodentia, Cricetidae. The transcript is spliced from 3 exons. The record is from RefSeq and is a predicted model, not a curated record.